GCCGGGGUCGCCUAGCCAGGUAGGGCGCGGGUCUGCUAAGCCCGUGGGGGUUCCCCCGCGCGGGUUCAAAUCCCGCCCCCGGCGCCA
RNAcentral lists this transfer RNA (87 nucleotides) under Thermoprotei archaeon. RNAcentral's name for it is "tRNA-Ser". It matches the Rfam family "tRNA". From Rfam's summary of the family: Transfer RNA (tRNA) molecules are approximately 80 nucleotides in length. Their secondary structure includes four short double-helical elements and three loops (D, anti-codon, and T loops). RNAcentral also lists the same sequence under 1 other name. The record is from RNAcentral. Lineage: Archaea; Thermoproteati; Thermoproteota; Thermoprotei.